UUUUUAUUUUAAUGAUACAGUUUUAGUAUUUUUAUAUUGUCUUUUUAUUAUAGUUUUUAUUUGUAUAUUUUCAGUUUUUAUUUUAUUGAUAAAGUUUUAGCAAUUUUUGUUCUGUAAUUUUUUUAUUGCAGUCUAGUUUUAUAUUUUCGUUUUUUAUUUUAAUUAUAAAUUCAUAGUAAAUAUUUGUUUUAUUUUUUAUUAUAGUUUUCAUUUUUAUAUUUUCAGUUUUUAUUCUAAUUAAGCUUUAGUCAUUUUUUUGUUUUGUCAUUUUUUGUCAUAGUUUAUUUUUAAUUUUCAUUUAUAAUAAUAUAGUUUCACUAUUUUUUUGUUUUAUCUUUUUGUUGUAGUUUUUAUAUAUUUUUAGUUUUCACUUUAAUAAUAAAGUUUUAGUAAUUUUGCUUCAUUUUAUUUUUAUUAUAGUUUUUAUUUCAGUGAUAAAAUUGUAGUACUUUUUUGCUUUGUCAUUUUUUGUUAUAGUUUAUAUUUAUAGAUUUUCAUUUCUAAUUAUAUAGUUUUUGUAAUUUUUUAGUUUUGUCUUUCUAUUGUGGUUUUUAUUUUUAUAUUUUCAUUUUUUUAUUUUAAUGAUAAUGUUUUAGUUGUGUUUUUUUUUUGGUCAUUUUUAAUAGUUUCUUUUUAUGUCCAUAAAGUUAUUAUUUUAUUUUUAUUUCAGUUUUAGUUGUUUUUGUAAAUUUUUAAGGGUUUUAGUUAACUAUAACCCUGGUCAGAUCUGAAUUCAAGUGUGCAGUGGAUUGUGGGGGAAAACCAACGACAUGAGGAGGCUUUCUGACCUGGACAUGAAGAAGAAGAUCAAGUUCAAUCUCCACAUAUCUCAAUGAUCCUCGAGACUGAACACCUGCCCUCUGUGUUCUUCCUGUCAUCCAACACCUCGGCGUUACACCUGAAAUUAGAGCACACACACACACCCACAACACACACACACACUCUGAUGUCCUCCAGGCAUGUGCUCCAUUCAGCCGUGUAGAGGUGAUCUUUCAUUUUGACAGAUC
Cyprinus carpio (common carp) is the source of this 1007-nucleotide long non-coding RNA. The record is from Ensembl. NCBI's taxonomy places the organism in Eukaryota, Metazoa, Chordata, Actinopteri, Cypriniformes, Cyprinidae.